UCUGGACCUGCUCUGACAUCCGUGCCACGUGGGGGGGGGUGGUCGUGUCUCGUUUAGAAAUGAGAUGAUGGCAGUGGCAUCCUGUGGAAUAUGGGUCUAAGCGCCGUCCCCCGUUGCUCCCCGUGGAGCGGCGUCUCACGCCAGCACCAAGAGCGAGGACAUUCCUGAGGUACACAGGCACGUCAUCUGCCCCUCGCCAGGAGCACUUCUGUGUUGCGGGCCUGGAUUUGCUAUAUUUUCCUGCCUAAUAUGACAGGCUUAGCAUUGAGCCUGCUCUCAAAUCAGACGUUAGUCUAAGUAAAGACCUCUUCUCAGCGCAGUGCUCUUGAAAGCUUUCAUGCUGCCUCGUAACUUCUCCCGGACCGGCGACCGCUGCCUUUAAAACCGGGCCUUUGUCUUGAGGAGCCUGAGUUUGUAAUCAAGAUUGAACCAGUGCCGUGGUCUUUUUCCUGUGCCGAGUUCUGGACGAAUGAAAAUGAGCACGAUGGCAGAAUUCUCGGGUUCGCUUCUGUUUUCUUUAUUUCUGCACAUAGUUUUAAUUCUGUUACUGGGGGGGGAGAAAACAGCAUAAAUAAUCUUUGAACUAUGCAGUCUAGAAUUAUGUGGUGUCAUUAAACAUGUGUUUCCCUCUGUGGUGGGUUAACUGGAGAGGCACUGACGGUAAUUCUGGAAGAGACCUCUUUUCCCCUACUUGCGAUCAAGCUACGUAAAUAAGACGUGUAAACAUAGAAAGUCGCGAGUAGCUGCUUUGGAAACUGCCCCCUCCCUCAAAAGCUGUUUCCGGACACAUGAAUGGCUUCUAGAUAAUCCUUUGUAGUAGUAUUUCUAUAGCCUGCUGUUUUUUUUUUUUUUUUAGUAAUGGCUGUUUUCUGGCCUCUGUUGGCCCGCUGUUGUAUCGGGAUCUCCGUUUAAGCGUCCCCAGCUAACUGGUCGCCUGCUGUUGGCUCAAACCCGCCAACUUGCACCUUUUCAUGUGACGUUGAUACACAGGACGUCAUUCACAGUUAAUGCAGAGCACCGUGUCUGAAUGAGCUGAUCUGAGCCGAUGGCGUUUGGCUGGGACAUGCACCCCUACGCCCGAUGGGACGAGGUAUCCAGCAUUUGGUGCAGGAACGCUGUUAGCCUGCACUCUGGAACAUUUCACAUCAGCCCGUGCUGGGCCUUCCGUGCGUGAUGCAGGACAUUGCCAGAACAAUGGGGUGAUGUCAGAGCCUGGUGAGGCCCCUGUGAUGCCCUUUCCUGUUUGGGGCCAGUCGCCUGGGAGCCACCCCGAACAGCAGCAGGCUAUUAGGACAAACUGAGAGCUUAAACGUCGCUGAGGUCUUUCCUAAGACACUGUGACGUAGUGCUGGGGAGCAGGUUAUUUGCCGGUCCUUGUUAGCGUCGCUGUGCCGCGCUGUUAGUUGGCAGCGCGUGACAUGCUGCCUGGGAGGUCACAGGCUGGUCGUAACCCAGACCAGAGUGCGGCUCUGUAUGUUCAAAGCUCCAGUCCUGCACCAAACAGGAAAGUUGCCGCGCACCAAGUGAUUCACCAAGCUUGGGAAAGAAGAGCACGAGACGCGGGGAGGCGUGAAGGCUUCUGGGACAGGCGGGGCCAAGGAGACGAGCCCAUCCAUUUGCGAGUGGUCAGUCUGAACUUGUGUAGCGUUCAUUUUGCUCUGUUGCAUCGUUACGAAGCGAGAUCCAUAACGAUGUCCUGGUUCCCCAU
Brienomyrus brachyistius is the source of this 1708-nucleotide long non-coding RNA. RefSeq lists it as uncharacterized. The record is from RefSeq and is a predicted model, not a curated record. Lineage: Eukaryota; Metazoa; Chordata; Actinopteri; Osteoglossiformes; Mormyridae. The transcript is spliced from 2 exons.